RNAcentral lists this ribosomal RNA (253 nucleotides) under uncultured bacterium. RNAcentral's name for it is "partial 16S ribosomal RNA". It matches the Rfam family "Bacterial small subunit ribosomal RNA", at positions 524 to 776 of the family's 1533-position model. The record is from RNAcentral.
UACGGAGGGUGCAAGCGUUAAUCGGAAUUACUGGGCGUAAAGGGUGCGUAGGUGGCGCUAUAAGCUAGCUGUGAAAUACCUGGGCUUAACCUGGGGGUGUCAGCUAUGACUGUAGUGCUUGAGUAUGGGAGAGGGUAGUGGAAUUUCCGGUGUAGCGGUGAAAUGCGUAGAUAUCGGAAGGAACACCGGUGGCGAAGGCGGCUACCUGGCCUAAUACUGACACUGAGGCACGAAAGCGUGGGUAGCGAACAGG